RNAcentral lists this ribosomal RNA (498 nucleotides) under uncultured bacterium. Its description in RNAcentral is "partial 16S ribosomal RNA". It matches the Rfam family "Bacterial small subunit ribosomal RNA", at positions 30 to 523 of the family's 1533-position model. The record is from RNAcentral.
AUUGAACGCUGGCGGCAUGCCUUACACAUGCAAGCCGAACGGUAACAGGUCUUCGGACGCUGACGAGUGGCAAACGGGUGAGUAAUACAUCGGAACGAGCCCAGUCGUGGGGGAUAACUACUCGAAAGAGUAGCUAAUACCGCAUACGAUCUGAGGAUGAAAGCGGGGGACCUUCGGUCCUAGCGCGAUUGGAGAGGCUGAUGGCAGCUUAGGUAGUUGGUGGGAUAAAAGCUUUCCAAGCCGACAAUCUGUAGCUGGUCUGAGAGGACGACCGGCCAUACUGGGUAUGAGACACGGCCCAGACUCCUCCGGGAUGCAGCAGUGGGGAAUUUUGGACAAUGGGCGAAUGCCGGAUCCAGCAAUGCCGCGUGCAGGUCGAAGGCCUUCGGGUUGUAAACUGCUUUUGUACGGAACGAAAAAGCUCCUUCUAAUACACGGGGCCCAUGACGGUACCGUAAGAAUAAGCACCGGCUAACUACGUGCCAGCCGCCGCCGUAA